Non-coding RNA from Sphagnurus paluster, 98 nucleotides. Lineage: Eukaryota; Fungi; Basidiomycota; Agaricomycetes; Agaricales; Lyophyllaceae. The record is from the annotation of a GenBank genome assembly.
GGCUCAAUGGUCUAGUAGUAUGAUUCCUGCUUUGGGUUUGGCUGUUAGCCCAUUAAUCCGAUUGCAGGAGGUCCUGGGUUCAACUCCCAGUUGAGCCC